This 431-nucleotide ribosomal RNA is filed under the name uncultured bacterium. RNAcentral describes it as "partial 16S ribosomal RNA". It matches the Rfam family "Bacterial small subunit ribosomal RNA", at positions 338 to 795 of the family's 1533-position model. The record is from RNAcentral.
CCUACGGGAGGCAGCAGUGGGGAAUAUUGCACAAUGGGAGAAAUCCUGAUGCAGCGACGCCGCGUGGGUGAUGAAGGCCUUCGGGUUGUAAAGCCCUGUCGACUGGGAACGUGUACCAGUAAAGGAAGCACCGGCUAACCCUGUGCCAGCAGCCGCGGUAAUACAGGGGGUGCUAGCGUUGUUCGGAAUCACUGGGCGUAAAGGGCGCGUAGGCGGUUUUGCAAGUCAGAAGUGAAAUCCCGGAGCUUAACUCCGGAAUUGCUUCUGAUACUGCAAGGCUAGAGUGUAUUAGAGGAUGGCGGAAUUCCUAGUGUAGUGGUGAAAUACGUAGAUAUUAGGAAGAACACCUGUGGCGAAGGCGGCCAUCUGGGAACACUGACGCUGAGGCGCGAAAGCGUGGGGAUCAAACAGGAUUAGAUACCCUUGUAGUC